CAGAGGGAAAAGGAGCAAUCCGCUUUGAGAUGGCCUCGCGUCCGAUUAGCUAGUUGGUGAGGUAAUGGCCCACCAAGGCGACGAUCGGUAGCCGGACUGAGAGGUUGAACGGCCACAUUGGGACUGAGACACGGCCCAGACUCCUACGGGAGGCAGCAGUGGGGAAUAUUGCACAAUGGGGGAAACCCUGAUGCAGCGACGCCGCGUGGAGGAAGAAGGUCUUCGGAUUGUAAACUCCUGUUGUUGAGGAAGAUAAUGACGGUACUCAACAAGGAAGUGACGGCUAACUACGUGCCAGCAGCCGCGGUAAAACGUAGGUCACAAGCGUUGUCCGGAAUUACUGGGUGUAAAGGGAGCGCAGGCGGGAAGACAAGUUGGAAGUGAAAUCUAUGGGCUCAACCCAUAAACUGCUUUCAAAACUGUUUUUCUUGAGUAGUGCAGAGGUAGGCGGAAUUCCCGGUGUAGCGGUGGAAUGCGUAGAUAUCGGGAGGAACACCAGUGGCGAAGGCGGCCUACUGGGCACCAACUGACGCUGAGGCUCGAAAGUGUGGGUAGCAAACAGGAUUAGAUACCCUGGUAGUCCACACCGUA
Molecule: ribosomal RNA, 591 nt
Filed under: uncultured bacterium
Lineage: Bacteria
Description: bacterial SSU rRNA
Rfam family: Bacterial small subunit ribosomal RNA
Source: RNAcentral